UACAUGGGGUGCAAACGUUGCUCGGAAUUAUUGGGCGUAAAGCGCGCGUAGGCGGUUACUUAAGUCGGAUGUGAAAGCCCUCGGCUUAACUGAGGAAGUGCACCCGAAACUGAGUAGCUAGAGUACGAAAGAGGGUCGCGGAAUUCCCGGUGUAGAGGUGAAAUUCGUAGAUAUCGGGAGGAACACCAGUGGCGAAGGCGGCUAUCUGGCCUGAUUCUGACGCUGAGGAGCGAAAGCCAGGGGAGCGAACGGG
Molecule: ribosomal RNA, 253 nt
Filed under: uncultured bacterium
Lineage: Bacteria
Description: partial 16S ribosomal RNA
Rfam family: Bacterial small subunit ribosomal RNA
Source: RNAcentral